This 253-nucleotide ribosomal RNA is filed under the name uncultured bacterium. RNAcentral describes it as "partial 16S ribosomal RNA". It matches the Rfam family "Bacterial small subunit ribosomal RNA", at positions 524 to 776 of the family's 1533-position model. The record is from RNAcentral.
UACGAAGGGGGCUAGCGUUGCUCGGAAUUACUGGGCGUAAAGGGCGCGUAGGCGGCCAGUUUAGUCAGAGGUGAAAGCCCAGGGCUCAACCUUGGAAUUGCCUUUGAUACUGGCUGUCUUGAGUUCGGGAGAGGUGAGUGGAAUGCCGAGUGUAGAGGUGAAAUUCGUAGAUAUUCGGCGGAACACCAGUGGCGAAGGCGACUCACUGGCCCGAUACUGACGCUGAGGUGCGAAAGCGUGGGGAGCAAACAGG